Small nuclear RNA from Hyla sarda, 188 nucleotides. RefSeq annotates it as U2 spliceosomal RNA. NCBI's taxonomy places the organism in Eukaryota, Metazoa, Chordata, Amphibia, Anura, Hylidae. The transcript has a single exon. The record is from RefSeq and is a predicted model, not a curated record.
AUUGCUUCUCGACCUUUUGGCUAAGAUCAAGUGUAGUAUUUGUAAUCAGUUUUAUUGGUGGAUCAGGCACCACUGAUGUAUGACUGGUGAGGAUGGGUGCUGCAUGGAAGGGGCAGGUGUCCCGGGGCUGGUUUAGAAGGAAUCAGCUCAACAGCUAUCCUGAUGUGACCUGCUUUCUUCGGGUCUCA